AACGAACGCUGGCGGCAUGCCUAACACAUGCAAGUCGAACGAGACCUUCGGGCCUAGGGGCGCACGGGUGCGUAACGCGGGGGAACCUGCCCGUAGGUUAGGAAUAACUGCCCGAGGGGGGUGCUAAUACCGGAGAAUGUCUUCGGACAAAAGAUUUAUCGCUUUUGGAUGGGGCCGCGUUGGAUUAGCUGGUGGGUAGGGGAAAAGCCUACCAAGGCGACGAUCCAGGGCUGGGCUGAGAGGAGGAUCAGCCGCACUGGGACUGAGACACGGCCCAGACUCCUACGGGAGGGAGGAGUGGGGAAUAUUGGACGAUGGGCGAAAGCCUGAUACAGCCAUGCCGCGUGAGUGAUGAAGGCCUUAGGGUUGUGAAGCUCUUUUAGCCGGGAUGAUAAUGACAGUACCGGGAGAAUAAGCACCGGCUAACUCCGUG
This 433-nucleotide ribosomal RNA is filed under the name uncultured bacterium. RNAcentral describes it as "partial 16S ribosomal RNA". It matches the Rfam family "Bacterial small subunit ribosomal RNA", at positions 29 to 507 of the family's 1533-position model. The record is from RNAcentral.